GCGAGCGUAGCAAAGUGGUCUAAUGCGCCUGGUUGUGGUUCAGGAGAUCGUGGGUUCGAAUCCCAUCGCUCGCCCCA
This 77-nucleotide transfer RNA is filed under the name Dehalococcoidia bacterium. RNAcentral's name for it is "tRNA-His". It matches the Rfam family "tRNA". From Rfam's summary of the family: Transfer RNA (tRNA) molecules are approximately 80 nucleotides in length. Their secondary structure includes four short double-helical elements and three loops (D, anti-codon, and T loops). Lineage: Bacteria; Bacillati; Chloroflexota; Dehalococcoidia. The record is from RNAcentral.